CUAAAACAUGCAGUCGAACGCUUCUUUCCUCCCGAGUGCUUGCACUCAAUUGGAAAGAGGAGUGGCGGACGGGUGAGUAACACGUGGGUAACCUACCCAUCAGAGGGGGAUAACACUUGGAAACAGGUGCUAAUACCGCAUAACAGUUUAUGCCGCAUGGCAUAAGAGUGAAAGGCGCUUUCGGGUGUCGCUGAUGGAUGGACCCGCGGUGCAUUAGCUAGUUGGUGAGGUAACGGCUCACCAAGGCCACGAUGCAUAGCCGACCUGAGAGGGUGAUCGGCCACACUGGGACUGAGACACGGCCCAGACUCCUACGGGAGGCAGCAGUAGGGAAUCUUCGGCAAUGGACGAAAGUCUGACCGAGCAACGCCGCGUGAGUGAAGAAGGUUUUCGGAUCGUAAAACUCUGUUGUUAGAGAAGAACAAGGACGUUAGUAACUGAACGUCCCCUGACGGUAUCUAACCAGAAAGCCACGGCUAACUACGUGCCAGCAGCCGCGGUAAUACGUAGGUGGCAAGCGUUGUCCGGAUUUAUUGGGCGUAAAGCGAGCGCAGGCGGUUUCUUAAGUCUGAUGUGAAAGCCCCCGGCUCAACCGGGGAGGGUCAUUGGAAACUGGGAGACUUGAGUGCAGAAGAGGAGAGUGGAAUUCCAUGUGUAGCGGUGAAAUGCGUAGAUAUAUGGAGGAACACCAGUGGCGAAGGCGGCUCUCUGGUCUGUAACUGACGCUGAGGCUCGAAAGCGUGUGGAGCAAACAGGAUUAGAUACCCUGGUAGUCCACGCCGUAAACGAUGAGUGCUAAGUGUUGGAGGGUUUCCGCCCUUCAGUGCUGCAGCAAACGCAUUAAGCACUCCGCCUGGGGAGUACGACCGCAAGGUUGAAACUCACAGGAAUUGACGGGGGCCCGCACAAACAGUGGAACAUGUGGUUUAAUUCAAAGCAACGCGAAGAACCUUACCAGGUCUUGACAUCCGUUGACCACUCUAGAGAUAAGACCUUUCCCUUCCGGGACCAAAUGACCAGUGGUUCAUGGUUGUCCUCAGUUCUUGACCCGAAAG
This 1055-nucleotide ribosomal RNA is filed under the name Enterococcus faecalis. RNAcentral describes it as "bacterial SSU rRNA". It matches the Rfam family "Bacterial small subunit ribosomal RNA", at positions 48 to 1071 of the family's 1533-position model. The record is from RNAcentral. Lineage: Bacteria; Bacillati; Bacillota; Bacilli; Lactobacillales; Enterococcaceae.